CCUACGGGAGGCAGCAGUGAGGAAUAUUGGUCAAUGGACGCAAGUCUGAACCAGCCACGUCGCGUGAAGGAAGACGGCCCUACGGGUUGUAAACUUCUUUUGUAAGGGAAUAAAGUGGGCCACGUGUGGCUUUUUGCAUGUACCUUACGAAUAAGGAUCGGCUAACUCCGUGCCAGCAGCCGCGGUAAUACGGAGGAUCCGAGCGUUAUCCGGAUUUAUUGGGUUUAAAGGGUGCUCAGGCGGGCCAUUAAGUCGGCGGUGAAAUUUUGCGGCUCAACCGUAAAAGUGCCUUCGAAACUGGUGGCCUUGAGUGUGGAUGAGGUAGGCGGAAUUUGUGGUGUAGCGGUGAAAUGCAUAGAUAUCACGAGGAACUCCGAUUGCGCAGGCAGCUUACUAAGCCAUAACUGACGCUCAAGCACGAAGGCGUGGGGAUCAAACA
This 439-nucleotide ribosomal RNA is filed under the name uncultured Proteiniphilum sp. RNAcentral describes it as "bacterial SSU rRNA". It matches the Rfam family "Bacterial small subunit ribosomal RNA", at positions 338 to 774 of the family's 1533-position model. Lineage: Bacteria; Pseudomonadati; Bacteroidota; Bacteroidia; Bacteroidales; Dysgonomonadaceae. The record is from RNAcentral.